This 301-nucleotide ribosomal RNA is filed under the name uncultured bacterium. RNAcentral describes it as "partial 16S ribosomal RNA". It matches the Rfam family "Bacterial small subunit ribosomal RNA", at positions 509 to 809 of the family's 1533-position model. The record is from RNAcentral.
CAGCAGCCACGGUAAUACGGAGGGUGCAAGCGUUAUCCGGAUUUAUUGGGUUUAAAGGGUCCGUAGGCGGACUUAUAAGUCAGUGGUGAAAGCCUGUCGCUUAACGAUAGAACUGCCAUUGAUACUGUAAGUCUUGAGUAUAUUUGAGGUAGCUGGAAUAAGUAGUGUAGCGGUGAAAUGCAUAGAUAUUACUUAGAACACCAAUUGCGAAGGCAGGUUACCAAGAUAUAACUGACGCUGAGGGACGAAAGCGUGGGUAGCGAACAGGAUUAGAUACCCGAGUAGUCCCUGUCUCUUAUAA